UUAGUAGAGACGGGGUUUCACCAUGUUAACCAAGCUGGUCUCGAACUUCUGGCCUCAGUUGAUUCCCCAACUCAGUUUUUCCAGUUUAUAUUCCCACCAGCAGGGUACGAGGAUUCCUAUUUCCCUACUUCCUCAUUAAUUAAGGGGAUGACACUCUUUCCGUUGUUUUUAUAGAUCUGCACGGAAUAAUGCAGCUUCUCUGCAUGACUGGAGUUUGUUUUGUCUUUGAAGAUAAUCUCACUAGGAUCCAGACCAUACCUGCUGGAGAGUCAGGACUCUGGAUUUCUGACUGUUUUGAGGACAGCUACUCUCAUCCUAGGCUGAUCUGAGUUUCUGGGUCUUUCUCUGCCUGUUCUUUCCUCUCCCCUUCCCUUCUCUGCUGCAGAAAGUGUUUUAUGUGGGUGUCAGCAACAUCAGGACCUCUCAAACCCCUUGCCCCAGUAUCAUCCCUGAAUGCAAAACUCACUUAGAGGCCUAGGGAAGAGAUUAGAGCUCUGCUUUUCCUCUGCCACCUCAGGUGUAUUCUAGCUUACAAGACACUUUCACAGAAAAAAAAUUCAGGGAAUGGAAUGGGAAGGCAAAAAUAGCUGCUUGAUGCUGACUUGGCACAUUGACUUCGACCAAAUCACCCAGCGCCUCGUCCUUAGCACUCUGGUGACCACAGAAUAAUCCUCGCGCAGUGAGUAGUGGAAGUCAGGAGGAGUAAACUGCCUAGAUGUCAUGAAGGGAAAGCAAUAGACUUGUGCAAAGUCUAUUCUUGUCCGUUUCCCUGUGAAUCCAGGUUGCUGAACAUCGGCCGAUGUCUGAGCUGUGGUUUCCUCCUGGUUUUGAAAUUUAGUUACUAGAAGACAAUGCUUUUGAAUGGCUUCUUUGCCAUGACUUUCACAGGUCCUGCUGGCUGUUGCCUAAUGAAUGUCUGAUAGGCCUAGCCCCUUGGCAAAGCAAUGUUUUAUUUGCAAAAUUAUGCUUGUCCAGUGCCUCCUGGGAACUGAAAGCCUGGCAUCAGCAGAGGAACGCAAACCGGGCAAAUCACGGAUCUCCAAGGCUUGCAUUGCUUGGGGGCCAUGGCACACAGCACUGCUAAAAGCCUAGGACAAUCUGUGUGUUUUAGGAGCAAACCGAUGCCUCGCACUUCUAAACUGUAUCCUUUGCUCCCUCCCUGAGAGGCAGCCGUGUGCUCUGGGCUUCCUAGGUAAGUGACUCACACGAACUAUAAGCCUGGCUUACGACCUAGAAAAGGAAACAGGAAGUGGCUUAGAGACAUAAAGAGCACAGCCCAGGAGGGGCUGCCAUGGAAUUCUCCUUAGGUGAGAAGGGGUCCAAUGGGCAGAGGGGCAACUUGGCAUCCUCUCUUUCCCCGCGUUACCACAAUGCCCUUGGCAGGGACCAUUUGAUGGGGAGUCGGAUGUCUUCCUGGGGGUGGUGAACAGGGGUGAGGGAGGGGGAACUGCUGCUGGGUCAGUAGCUCCUCUCCAGAGUGAGCCCAUCAGUGGAAUGCCAUGCCCCUUCUCUAUCCCAUCUUUGCAAGUGGGCUUGGGUUCUUGGGAUGAGUUUCAUCAGGCCUUAUACAUGCAGACUGUGAAGAGGUGCCUCCAACAAGAAAAACCAGUCUCUGGCAGGUCCUCUAAGGGCAGGGAUUCUGGAGAGGCCGCCCUGUCCUCAGCUUGGCCCUGGCACAUUCUGGCUGCAGGUAAGAUGGCUGCAGCAGAGGGAGGGGAGGGGCCUCCCUGUUGAUGGAGACCACCAUGCAGCGCUUCACUAUGCUUCCCUUUCUGGCUCUCCCAGGGAGGAAGGGUGACUGGUGGCUGGCCGCUGGCGGCAGGGCUUGUGGAGGCUCAGUCCUGGGCCUGGUCCUGCUUCUCUUAGAGGUGGCUGGUUGUGCAAUGGCAUCCCGGCUGCUCCUCUUGGAGCCCCAUGACCACAAUUCCAGGCUCCACCCCCAUUUCUCACCACCCCCAGUGGUGAGAAAUGGAAUUUUUUGUUUUGUGUUUUUAUGCUGUUCCCAUAACACCCAGCACCUAUCCCCAAGGAUGAGUCCUGAAGACCCGUAGCCAUGGCAGGGCAGGGCCUAGAUACUGAAGGAGGGUCCCACUCAGAGGCCAGUUCCACCCACUGCAAAACGCCCUCUGAGGACCCUCACUAGACCAGUUCCUCAAAGUGCGGUCCGCAGGCUGCCAUCAGCAGAAUCAUGGGGUGAGAAAGGGGCUGGUAAAAACACGGGUUCUUGGCCCCCUCUGCAGACCUCCAGAAUCUAACCCUCUCAGGAAAAGUCCUGGAAAUCUGUGUGUCUAGAAGCACUUUCUUCUCCAGGUUGGUCAGCUCGGAAAUGUCUAAAUACUUUUCUCAAUACCAAUCCCGGUCUCAUUUAUUAUCCUUCUCAUGAAAAUGAUUUGCUUCCUUUCAACCUUGUAUGACCUCUGAAAAUAUGACCUAAAGCAGAGGGUCAUAUUUUCUUAUGCACUCACAUAAGAAACAUCACCUGUGGCCUUCAUUGGCAAGCAUGGAUUGCUGUUUUCAAUCAGGGGCUUUGAAGGAAGACACUUUUGAUCAUCGGGCUGCCUCUGUCUGCUUUUUCACUGAGUUGUCACUAUUAAAUGCCCUUCCCUGGCUUUGCCUUCUCUCUUCUCCACCAGAAAAUGGGCCUGCUGCUCUAAGAGGUUGGACUCUUGGAGUCCUCUAGCACAGGGGCCAUGAAAAUCAAUGACUUCCUUGUUUGCUGAUGGAGCAGAGGUAGAAUCUCUUGGUGUUUCCACAGAGAAAACGCUGGCUGUGAAGAGCCGAGAAAGAUGACAUGAUGAAGCCAUCAGGGGAGGCACCAAACAUCCUCAACUCUGCUCACCUAUGGUUUUCUCCAGCCCUCCCAGAGCUCCUCCUGCUAUAUCAGAUAAAUGGGAGAGAAGGAUGGCAGUGAAGCGGUAAUGAGAAGUGGGACCAGGAAUCCAGGUGUCAGGGAGGAAGACAUGAAGCAGGCAACGAGAAGAUCUGGAAAGAAGGAGGAGACUCUGAGAGCCAUUGUAAAGGAAGAUGUAGCCGGUUUUGGUAACAGGCUCAGCUAUGUCUUUACCAGCAGUAUGAAAAUGGACUAAUACAAGCUGCCAUCACAAAAUGCUCUAGAUUGGGUGGCUUAGACAACCGACACUUAUAUUCUCACAGUCCUGAGAACUGGAUAUCUGAGAUCAAGAUGCUGCUGGCAGAAUGGGUUUCUGGUUGUGAGAAAUGGAGCAGAAGCACCACACUUGAGGAGGGAGGCCACGAAGAGGACCCUCAAUCCUAGAUGGACAGAAGGAAGAGGAGGGAAUGAAAACAAAGAUCUUCCAACGGCAUCACUCCACUGCCUGGGGCAGACCCUGGAAUGAGUUGCUCUGCCACCUGAGAUCGCUGGACAGAGCCCCCAUCAUCCGGGAGAGCAGCCAGACAGGCAGGCCCAGGACAAGGGCUCGCGUGGCAUGGGGCACAGGGCAAGGCUCCCUUAGGUUGUUAAUGUGGUGGGUCCAGCACAACUAAAUGCAACUCAGAGAUUAUUUAUUUUUUCAGUGUUCAAACCUUAUUCAUACUCUUGUUAAAAUUUUACUCAA
Non-coding RNA from Macaca mulatta (Rhesus monkey), 3575 nucleotides. Lineage: Eukaryota; Metazoa; Chordata; Mammalia; Primates; Cercopithecidae. The record is from RefSeq and is a predicted model, not a curated record.